GAUCCUGGCUCAGGAUGAACGCUAGCGGCAGGCCUAACACAUGCAAGUCGAGGGGCAGCACGUUAAAGAGUUUACUCUUUAUGGUGGCGACCGGCGGACGGGUGCGUAACGCGUAUGCAACCUGCCUGACACAGGGGGAUAAUCCGAAGAAAUUUGGUCUAAUACCCCAUAAUACCGAUAUAGGCACCUAUGUUGGUUGGAAGCUUUGGUGGUGUCAGAUGGGCAUGCGUUGUAUUAGCUAGUUGG
RNAcentral lists this ribosomal RNA (246 nucleotides) under uncultured bacterium. RNAcentral's name for it is "partial 16S ribosomal RNA". It matches the Rfam family "Bacterial small subunit ribosomal RNA", at positions 15 to 252 of the family's 1533-position model. The record is from RNAcentral.